This 1350-nucleotide ribosomal RNA is filed under the name uncultured bacterium. RNAcentral describes it as "partial 16S ribosomal RNA". It matches the Rfam family "Bacterial small subunit ribosomal RNA", at positions 28 to 1381 of the family's 1533-position model. The record is from RNAcentral.
GAUGAACGCUGGCGGCGUGCCUAAUACAUGCAAGUCGAGCGAACAGACGAGGAGCUUGCUCCUCUGACGUUAGCGGCGGACGGGUGAGUAACACGUGGAUAACCUACCUAUAAGACUGGGAUAACUUCGGGAAACCGGAGCUAAUACCGGAUAAUAUAUUGAACCGCAUGGUUCAAUAGUGAAAGACGGUUUUGCUGUCACUUAUAGAUGGAUCCGCGCCGCAUUAGCUAGUUGGUAAGGUAACGGCUUACCAAGGCGACGGGUAGCCGGCCUGAGAGGGUGGACGGCCACAUUGGGACUGAGAUACGGCCCAGACUCCUACGGGAGGCAGCAGUGGGGAAUAUUGCACAAUGGGCGCAAGCCUGAUGCAGCGACGCCGCGUGGGGGAUGACGGCCUUCGGGCUGUAAACUCCUUUCGCUAGGGACGAAGCUUUUUGUGACGGUACCUAGAUAAGAAGCACCGGCUAACUACGUGCCAGCAGCCGCGGUAAUACGUAGGGUGCGAGCGUUGUCCGGAAUUACUGGGCGUAAAGGGCUCGUAGGUGGUUUGUCGCGUCGUCUGUGAAAUUCCGGGGCUUAACUCCGGGCGUGCAGGCGAUACGGGCAUAACUUGAGUACUGUAGGGGUAACUGGAAUUCCUGGUGUAGCGGUGAAAUGCGCAGAUAUCAGGAGGAACACCGAUGGCGAAGGCAGGUUACUGGGCAGUUACUGACGCUGAGGAGCGAAAGCAUGGGUAGCGAACAGGAUUAGAUACCCUGGUAGUCCAUGCCGUAAACGGUGGGCGCUAGGUGUGAGGGUCUUUUCACGACUUUCGUGCCGUAGCUAACGCAUUAAGCGCCCCGCCUGGGGAGUACGGCCGCAAGGCUAAAACUCAAAGGAAUUGACGGGGGCCCGCACAAGCGGCGGAGCAUGUGGAUUAAUUCGAUGCAACGCGAAGAACCUUACCUGGGCUUGACAUACACCAGAUCGCUGCAGAGAUGUAGUUUCCCUUUGUGGCUGGUGUACAGGUGGUGCAUGGUUGUCGUCAGCUCGUGUCGUGAGAUGUUGGGUUAAGUCCCGCAACGAGCGCAACCCUUGUCUUAUGUUGCCAGCAUUUGGUUGGGGACUCAUGAGAGACUGCCGGGGUCAACUCGGAGGAAGGUGGGGAUGACGUCAAAUCAUCAUGCCCCUUAUGUCCAGGGCUUCACACAUGCUACAAUGGUCGGUACAACGCGCAGCGACACUGUGAGGUGGAGCGAAUCGCUGAAAGCCGGCCUUAGUUCGGAUUGGGGUCUGCAACUCGACCCCAUGAAGUCGGAGUCGCUAGUAAUCGCAGAUCAGCAAUGCUGCGGUGAAUACGUUCCCGGGCCU